UUCUUUUUUUUUUCCUUUUUGAGACAGAGUGUUGCUCUGUCACCCAGGCUGGAGGGCAGUGGUGUGAUCUCGGCUCACUGCAACCUCCGCCUCAUGGUUUAAUUGAUUCUCCUGCCUCAGCCCCCUGAGUAGUUGGGAUUACAGGCACCCGCCACCACACCUGGCUAAUUUUUUGUAUUUUCAGAAGGCGUGGGUUUUUGCCACGUUGGCCUGGCUGGUCUUGACCUCCUGACCUCAAGUGAUCCACCCUCCUCGGCCUCCCAAAAUGCUGGGAUUACAGGCAUGAGCCACCAUACCCAGCUGCUUUCUUUCAUUUUUACUUGAAAAACUCCGUUAAGCAUUUCUUUUAAAGUAGACCUAGUGGUGGCUCAUGCCUAUAAUCCCAGCACUCUGGGAGGCCAAGGUUUCAGGAUCGCUUGAGCCCAGGAGUUCAAGACCAGCCUGGGUAACAUAAUGAGACACCAUCUCUACAAAAAAUGCAAAAAUUAGCUGAGCAUGGUGGCACGCACCUGUAGUCCCAGCUACUUGGGAUGCUGAGGCAGGAGAAUCGCUUGAACCUGGGAGGUGGAGGUU
This 573-nucleotide long non-coding RNA is filed under the name Homo sapiens (human). RNAcentral's name for it is "HSALNT0340908". The record is from RNAcentral. Lineage: Eukaryota; Metazoa; Chordata; Mammalia; Primates; Hominidae.